GUGGGGAAUAUUGGGCAAUGGGCGCAAGCCUGACCCAGCAACGCCGCGUGAAGGAAGAAGGCUUUCGGGUUGUAAACUUCUUUUACCUGGGACGAAAAAAAUGACGGUACCUGGAGAAUAAGCCACGGCUAACUACGUGCCAGCAGCCGCGGUAAUACGUAGGUGGCAAGCGUUGUCCGGAUUUACUGGGUGUAAAGGGCGCGUAGGCGGGAGAGCAAGUCAGGAGUGAAAUCUAUGGGCUUAACCCAUAAAUUGCUUUUGAAACUGUUGUUCUUGAGUGAUGGAGAGGCAAGCGGAAUUCCUAGUGUAGCGGUGAAAUGCGUAGAUAUUAGGAGGAACACCAGUGGCGAAGGCGGCUUGCUGGACAUUAACUGACGCUGAUGCGCGAAAGCGUGGGGAGCAAACAGGAUUAGAAACCCGGGUAGUCC
This 428-nucleotide ribosomal RNA is filed under the name uncultured bacterium. RNAcentral describes it as "partial 16S ribosomal RNA". It matches the Rfam family "Bacterial small subunit ribosomal RNA", at positions 354 to 796 of the family's 1533-position model. The record is from RNAcentral.